Molecule: long non-coding RNA, 257 nt
Organism: Oncorhynchus tshawytscha (Chinook salmon)
Lineage: Eukaryota; Metazoa; Chordata; Actinopteri; Salmoniformes; Salmonidae
Exons: 3
Source: RefSeq, a predicted model, not a curated record
GAGGAGGUCAUUUCUGUGGGUACAUAGACCCUGAGGAGGUCAUUUCUGUGGGUACAUAGACCCUGAGGAGGUCAUUUCUGUGGGUACAUAGACCCUGAGGAGGUCAUUUCUGUGGGUACAUAGACCCCGAGGAGGUCAUUUCUGUGGGUACAUAGACCCCGAGGAGGUCAUUUCUGUGGGUACAUAGACCCUGAGGAGGUCAUUUCUGUGGGUACAUAGACCCUGAGGAGGUCAUUUCUGUGGGUACAUAGACCCUG